CAUAGUUAUUGAUUUGAGCGUUGAAACGAAUUCUUAAAUCUUAACUUAGGCGUUCUUAAUUUUGACUGUCUUCUCUUGUUUGACAGGUUGAGCGAUCCCUCUUUCUUAAGCUUUCUACGAAUUUUACCUUGCAAAUCCAAAAACAUCUCAGCAAUAUAUCUCCUGGCAGAAUCGUUGAACAAAAUUUUUUUAUUGCUUGUAAAACGUAUCGACGGGAUUAAGACAAUUUCUUGUUAUUGUUAAAGAUGUGAAUUUGACUCAACAACUCAGGAAUGUUGAAAGAAGAUUUUCAAACAUGGAUUUUCCUUAAAAUCAAAUGCUACAGAUCACUGGGAUUCAGACAUGUAAACUGAGCCAACCUGAAGCGAGAUUCCGUAAAUAUAAGGGAACAUACGAAGGUUCACCUUCUUAAGGUUAGGUCACAUGAUUGCCCGAACCCGAAAUGGUCAGGUGGAUUAUCAAAUGUCUCUCCACUUCUCCUCUCGACACGUAGCACUGUUCCUAGCACUUUGCACUCAUUGAUUAAGGUUUCCAAAUUCUUCGUCUUUGCUCUUCCUUCUUAAUUCCCCACUUUAAAUUCUUUUCUAUUUCAUCAUUUCCUUUUCACCUUCUCAUUUCCACCGUUGGAUCACCCAUCCAACCACUAACAUUAAGUAAACUUAAAAAUUAGAAUGAAAUUGAUUUAACAAUUUUAGUUAUGAUAUGUCAGUGAUAUUAUAUGAAUAUAAUAUAAAAGUGACACGUUUAAAAGUUUAAUAAAAAUUA
Molecule: non-coding RNA, 765 nt
Organism: Durio zibethinus
Lineage: Eukaryota; Viridiplantae; Streptophyta; Magnoliopsida; Malvales; Malvaceae
Source: RefSeq, a predicted model, not a curated record